ACACAAAACAAACACAAAAUAUGUCUUUGUUUUGGAACACUUAUGUUGACAUGAAUGGAGAAGGAUUGAUGACGGAGAAAGAAAGUUUCCUGAACACUUCAGUAACACAGUUAAAUAAUAGCUACUGUUACCUCCUUCCAGUGUUGUGAUUAGUACUCCUAUUUGUUAGAUCGCAUUUUAAUAGUACUGGCUAAAGCAGAAACAGGAAAACAAGCUACAUUUUAAUGGUACUGGCUGAGAUAGAAACAGGAAAACAAGCUACAUUUUAAUGGUACUGGCUAAGGCAGAAACAGGAAAACAAGCUACAUUAUAAUGGUACUGGCUGAGGUAGAAACAGGAAAACAAGCUACAUUUUAAUGGUACUGGCUGAGGUAGAAACAGGAAAACAAGCUACAUUUUAAUGGUACUGGCUGAGGUAGAAACAGGAAAACAAGCUACAUUUUAAUGGUACUGGCUGAGGUAGAAACAGGAAAACAAGCUACAUUUUAAUGGUACUGGCUGAGGUAGAAACAGGAAAACAAGCUACAUUUUAAUGGUACUGGCUGAGGUAGAAACAGAAAAACAGGCUACAUUUUAACGAUACUUGCUAAGGUAGAAACAGGAUAUCAGGUUACAUUUUAAACUCAGCGAUCUAAAUGAUAGUAAAUAUAAAUAUCUUCAUAUUUCAAGUCACUUGGUCAGCACAACUUAGUUAUUUUCAAUAUAAAUAUCUUCAUAUUUCAAGUCACUUGAUCAGCACAACUUAGUUAUUUUCAAUAUAAAUAUCUUCAUAUUUCAAGUCACUUGAUCAGCACAACUUAGUUAUUUUCAGAAUAAAUUCCCGCACAAAUCACCGCUAGUCAUGAUGGCUCUGAUUACUAGAUUGAUUUUGUGUGUGUGUUAUUUGAAUCAACAUCUAAAUUAACUAUUAUUAACCCUAAUAUUACUGUCUGAAAGUCCUAAUACCGCAAUUAAUAUAUUUUAAAACAAUAAUGCUCUCCUAAACAAUGUGCGCAGAAAUUUUAAACAAUGUUAACAUUUUAUAUUGUCUUCUUAAAGAAUAUGGAAUUUUUAUCUGAAUUUCUCAUUUUCUCAAGUCUUUAACGAUUCUAUUAUUCUCUAUUUUUAAACGAACUGGCAGGUUUACAUCAGAUGUUUCAAGAUAUGUUUUAAGAAUACAAAAAUGAAGAACUAUAUAUUAAAGUUUAAACCAUAUUGCACUGGGGACUCUAUAUAUAUAUUGUAUGACCCAGUGUCGUUUGUACACGUUCAUAUUUUUCUGACCGUGAAAUUUCCAAAAUAAAAACAAAACAAACAACAACAACAGUACCAAGCGCCGACAUUACAUAAAAUAUAGGCUCUAAACAAGCCGAUUUUAGAACACAAAGUGACGAGUGACAUGAACGGAUCUAGAAUCUUAAGUUUUUGGUCAUGGCGGUCUUGUUACAACACCUCUCUCCCUACCCAUCACAAAUCCGACGAUAUGACGAAACUCAGUGACAUAAGAAAUAUUGUUGAUAUGGCUGUGGUAAAAACACACCCGUUGUUAACAAUAUAAUUAUAUGUUCUGGAAACUGUCAUAUUUACAUAUUCAUCUCUUGAGAUAUCAGAGCAAUAAAAUCGUUUUGUUUUCUACCCUACAUUUGUUUUGUUGUUAAUUAAAAAUAUCUAUAUCGAACACUAUAAGCAAUUACGAGCAAAAUAUGAACACGCCAUCCAUGCGAUUAUAGAUAAAGCUACAGACAUACAAAGAACAAUAAAUUUUUGUCCCAACCACGCUUUUCGCUCCCUCUAGCUGCGUGAGUUGUAACCUUGAAUAAUAUAAUAUAAUGCCAAUGGCGCGCGCUCCCUUAUCCGGCCCCGCACUGGUAUGCAAAUUAUUGUUUUCAUCUUUCUGUCUUACUUGCUUUCGCUCAUGACUUUUUUAUUCGACAUAUUACAAAUAGUUCUAAACGUCCUACAACAGACAGUUGAUAUAUGCAACUGGGAAACACGUGAGUAAACUCACAACGACUACUAUCGCAUCAUAAAAUAAAGAAAA
Molecule: long non-coding RNA, 2020 nt
Organism: Limulus polyphemus (Atlantic horseshoe crab)
Lineage: Eukaryota; Metazoa; Arthropoda; Merostomata; Xiphosura; Limulidae
Exons: 3
Source: RefSeq, a predicted model, not a curated record